Molecule: ribosomal RNA, 539 nt
Filed under: uncultured bacterium
Lineage: Bacteria
Description: partial 16S ribosomal RNA
Rfam family: Bacterial small subunit ribosomal RNA
Source: RNAcentral
UGGGGAAUUUUGGACAAUGGGCGAAAGCCUGAUCCAGCAAUGCCGCGUGUGUGAAGAAGGCCUUCGGGUUGUAAAGCACUUUGUCCGGAAAGAAAUCCUUGGCUCUAAUACAGUCGGGGGAUGACGGUACCGGAAGAAUAAGCACCGGCUAACUACGUGCCAGCAGCCGCGGUAAUACGUAGGGUGCAAGCGUUAAUCGGAAUUACUGGGCGUAAAGCGUGCGCAGGCGGUUUGCUAAGACCGAUGCGAAAUCCCCGGGCUCAACCUGGGAACUGCAUUGGUGACUGGCAGGCUAGAGUAUGGCAGAGGGGGGUAGAAUUCCGACGUGUAGCAGUGAAAUGCGUAGAGAUGUGGAGGAAUACCGAUGGCGAAGGCAGCCCCUGGGCCAAUACUGACGCUCAUGCACGAAAGCGUGGGGAGCAAACAGGAUUAGAUACCCUGGUAGUCCACGCCCUAAACGAUGUCAACUAGUUGUUGGGGGAUUCAUUUCCUUAGUAACGUAGCUAACCGCGUGAAGUUGACCGCCUGGGGAGUACGGU